AGAGUUUGAUCCUGGCUCAGGAUGAACGCGGGCGGUGUGCCUAAUACAUGCAAGUCGAGCGCACUGGCCCAACUGAUAUGACGUGCUUGCACUGAAUUGACGUUGGAUUACCAGUGAGCGGCGGACGGGUGAGUAACACGUGGGCAACCUGCCCUGGAGUGGGGGAUAACAUCUGGAAACAGGUGCUAAUACCGCAUAACAACGAAAACCACAUGGUUUUCGUUUCAAAGAUGGUUUCGGCUAUCACUUCAGGAUGGGCCCGCGGUGCAUUAGCUAGUUGGUAAGGUAACGGCUUACCAAGGCAAUGAUGCAUAGCCGAGUUGAGAGACUGAUCGGCCACAAUGGAACUGAGACACGGUCCAUACUCCUACGGGAGGCAGCAGUAGGGAAUCUUCCACAAUGGGCGCAAGCCUGAUGGAGCAACACCGCGUGAGUGAAGAAGGGUUUCGGCUCGUAAAGCUCUGUUGUUGGAGAAGAACGUGCGUGAGAGUAACUGUUCACGCAGUGACGGUAUCCAACCAGAAAGUCACGGCUAACUACGUGCCAGCAGCCGCGGUAAUACGUAGGUGGCAAGCGUUAUCCGGAUUUAUUGGGCGUAAAGCGAGCGCAGGCGGUUGCUUAGGUCUGAUGUGAAAGCCUUCGGCUUAACCGAAGAAGGGCAUCGGAAACCGGGCGACUUGAGUGCAGAAGAGGACAGUGGAACUCCAUGUGUAGCGGUGGAAUGCGUAGAUAUAUGGAAGAACACCAGUGGCGAAGGCGGCUGUCUGGUCUGCAACUGACGCUGAGGCUCGAAAGCAUGGGUAGCGAACAGGAUUAGAUACCCUGGUAGUCCAUGCCGUAAACGAUGAGUGCUAGGUGUUGGAGGGUUUCCGCCCUUCAGUGCCGGAGCUAACGCAUUAAGCACUCCGCCUGGGGAGUACGACCGCAAGGUUGAAACUCAAAUGAAUUGACGG
This 953-nucleotide ribosomal RNA is filed under the name uncultured bacterium. Its description in RNAcentral is "bacterial SSU rRNA". It matches the Rfam family "Bacterial small subunit ribosomal RNA", at positions 8 to 916 of the family's 1533-position model. The record is from RNAcentral.